CAGGGCGAAGGCGCUGGCGCUGACCAGGAACCGGGGAGUGGAAGCGUCCAUGGACUGGCGUGACUCUCCAGAUGUAGUCUGAGUCUGGUCGUUGUGAUAGCUUCUAAGUCUCUUCUUUUGAGAUACAGCAAGCAGACCAGAUACAUGCACCCAGGACUCUAAUCUCAACCUCCUUAUCACCUUCAGCAUUUUCGAACCACAAUGGAAAUUUAGCCCUUCUGCCUGGGGCUGCU
RNAcentral lists this long non-coding RNA (233 nucleotides) under Lonchura striata (white-rumped munia). RNAcentral's name for it is "domestica (Bengalese finch) lncRNA (ENSLSDG00000013887.1)". The record is from RNAcentral. Lineage: Eukaryota; Metazoa; Chordata; Aves; Passeriformes; Estrildidae.